UGCGCGGCUUGUGUUAAAUGGAAUCGGAAGCCGGGCUUGGGUCACCAGACGCGUUGAUCCGCUGGAGCCGCUACGCUUCCCCCCAAAAACCCCCUGGCUCCCGAGAGCAACGGCAGGGGGUGGGGAAUGCCUCGGUGGCCUUCGGACCCCGCUUGGGUGCGGUGGUCUGCCGCCCGAGUUAUCUGCAUCAGACAGAUGCGGGGCCUCCCGGCGGCGGGCGCGCGUCCCGCCCGAAAGGAAGGGGCGAAGGCUUCCGAAAGCUGGUUUGGCUGCUUCGGUGCCAGCGAAAUUUUGAUCAGGAAAAAUUAUUUUUGCUUCUCACUUCGGUAAAACCCAAGAACAAAGGGAGCUUGCUUUUAAACAAUAAGCGUUGCCCAACAGUCGUGGAUGUUGAUCUUGGGCCCUUGUUCAUCACCCAGGCCGUGUCUCCGGCUUGGACAUCGGAGUUCCCGCGUGGCUGGGUCUCCGACGCCGGAAUCAUGGGGAUGAGGGGACUUCUGGGGUUGGUCCCUGUCUUGUCCCUUGCAGCUGCCAACGCCCACGUGGAAACCCAAAGCGCAGAAGCACCGCGGAGCGCGCCCCUCCAGCAGCGAGGUCCCCUCUCGAUCUCAGACGCCCAGAGGUCCGGAUGCCAGAGGAUCACACCUAGUCCACUUCCCCCAACCCCUCGCCCACCCCAUAGAGGGGGUCCCUGGUGCACUAGCUUGCAUGGGGGACCACAGAACAGUUUCUCCUGCAGGGAGAACCUGCAGCUUCUGGAACUCUGGUUUGGACAAGUGCCCCUUCUCUCUGCACCUCCCAGAGAGAAGGGCCAGGAGUCUGGGACAGAAAACUGAAUGCUUUCUGCCCACUGCUCCUUAGGUCCUUGGACCCAGCCAGCCCUGCAGCGGCUCUUGCAUCUACUCCUGUUAGCCCCAGGUUCCUAUAGGUCUUAGGUGGCUUUCCCACCCUGAGCUUCAGACAACUGCCUGAGCAGCCCACAUUCUACACUCACGACUUACCCAUCCCAGGGCUGGAGGACCCAGGGCAGUCAGUAUGGGAGGCCUGAGGACCUCCACAAGCUCAAGGCUUGCUUCUGCCUCAAGCCACCAACUGGAAGGUUUCCUUUUCUCGUGGAGGACCAAUUCCCCAACAUCCAGCAACCAAAGCCCAGCUGAGUGAUCUGAAAUGCAGAGAGAAGGCCCACAUAUAACUGACAGUCAAGACUGAACUCCUAUCCCUCUGGCCUCAAGUCCACACUCACAACAACUGGAGCUACUAGAAAAUGC
This is a long non-coding RNA of Canis lupus familiaris (dog), 1268 nucleotides long. RefSeq lists it as uncharacterized. Lineage: Eukaryota; Metazoa; Chordata; Mammalia; Carnivora; Canidae. The record is from RefSeq and is a predicted model, not a curated record. The transcript has 2 exons.